Prunus mume (Japanese apricot) is the source of this 1271-nucleotide non-coding RNA. Lineage: Eukaryota; Viridiplantae; Streptophyta; Magnoliopsida; Rosales; Rosaceae. The record is from RefSeq and is a predicted model, not a curated record.
AGAAUCUUUGAUGUGAAGGUCUGCUGAUUUGAACUUGUCUCCGUUGAACCUGUUACUCCAGUAUAUCAUGUGAUAGUAAGCCCAAAACUAAAUAUUAUUGAAGAAUACACUCGUAAAUUCAUAUGUGGUUCUGUGUCAAGAUUUCCCUGUAACUUUGUUUCGAAUAUUUGUUCCCAUGGGAAAAAAAAAAGUUAAUAAUUUUGUUUAUUAUCCAUCCAAUGCUUGCGCAAGAGAAAAUAUGUGUGAGAGAGAAUGGGUGGAGUAAGGCGUGGUGAGUACGUUCUUUUAGUGCCAUUUGGUUUACUGUUUACCAAAGGCAAUUCCCGAAUGCUCUCAUAUUCUUGUUUGUCUAUGUUGUCAACAAUUUAGUUGUUAUCUGUGUUUGCUUUUUAUCCACCUUCUUUACCUGAUUGGUUUCAAGAUCUCAACUGCUCCUCAAAGUAUUGUUCUUCCAGUUGUUACUUCGUGUCAUUUAGUUUUGACUCCUUGUUAGGUUCUUAGAAAGCCCAUGUUUGGGAGGUCAAAAGGCUGACAACAUUGUUGAACUUGUGUCUCUGUCGUAUGAUUUUUCUAAUGCUGUAUUUUAUAUUUCUGAAAUAUAAGUGAAAUUAAUAUGUUCCUACUUUGUUGACACUGAUGCACGCUCUCUAGGGACUGCAUGUCGAGCCAACAACUUGUGGACUACGUUCGGGAACAAUUAAAACGUGAAAGUAAACUCUCAGUGAUUUGUGAGAGAGUGUUUGAAAGGUGCUUGGCACCAUCACCUGGUGGAGAGGGGUGUGACAACAUGACAAUGAUCUUGGUUCAGCUUAAGAAACCUGUUACUUCAGCUGCUUCUGUCGGGGACAAGCCUCUCUCGUCUAAUCCAUCAUCUGAGAAGGAUAAAAGCUCGGCAAAAGCUAAAUAGAUCUUCCCAUGACUAUCGAAUGACUGCAUUUUCUGCAAGUUAGGGCUUUUGGUGAUCUCAGAAAAUCAUAAAUUCGUUCAGAUUAGGAAAGAAUUCUCAUGACAGUAUGUGUUCACGGUGUUUUGUCAAGUACCGGUAUAGCUUACGAGUUCUGUACAUGUGUCAGGGAGUUUGUCUUUUGGUUUCCCUCCAGAUUUUGAAGAGCUUUGCCAGCAAAUUUUUAAGACUGAACACUUGCUUCAGAUGGUAACCUGACCAAGGAAAAAAAUAUCAAGAUUUUUGUUCCUUUUCUUUUCAUAUUGUUUGUGUGAAGUGUGAACAAUAAUUCUAUGAAUGAACACCAUGCAGUGGCUGUAUUUGAAUA